GAUGAACGCUGGCGGCGUGCCUAAUACAUGCAAGUCGAGCGAACAGACGAGGAGCUUGCUCCUCUGACGUUAGCGGCGGACGGGUGAGUAACACGUGGAUAACCUACCUAUAAGACUGGGAUAACUUCGGGAAGCCGGAGCUAAUACCGGAUAAUAUAUUGAACCGCAUGGCUCAAUAGUGAAAGACGGUUUUGCUGUCACUUAUAGAUGGAUCCGCGCCGCAUUAGCUAGUUGGUAAGGUAACGGCUUACCAAGGCGACGAUGCGUAGCCGACCUGAGAGGGUGAUCGGCCACACUGGAACUGAGACACGGUCCAGACUCCUACGGGAGGCAGCAGUAGGGAAUCUUCCGCAAUGGGCGAAAGCCUGACGGAGCAACGCCGCGUGAGUGAUGAAGGUCUUCGGAUCGUAAAACUCUGUUAUUAGGGAAGAACAAAUGUGUAAGUAACUAUGCACGUCUUGACGGUACCUAAUCAGAAAGCCACGGCUAACUACGUG
This 497-nucleotide ribosomal RNA is filed under the name uncultured bacterium. Its description in RNAcentral is "partial 16S ribosomal RNA". It matches the Rfam family "Bacterial small subunit ribosomal RNA", at positions 28 to 507 of the family's 1533-position model. The record is from RNAcentral.